This 224-nucleotide ribosomal RNA is filed under the name uncultured bacterium. RNAcentral describes it as "partial 16S ribosomal RNA". It matches the Rfam family "Bacterial small subunit ribosomal RNA", at positions 15 to 235 of the family's 1533-position model. The record is from RNAcentral.
GAUCAUGGCUCAGGAUGAACGCUAGCGACAGGCUUAACACAUGCAAGUCGAGGGGCAGCACAGGUAGCAAUACCGGGUGGCAACCGGCGCACGGGUGAGCAACGCGUAUGCAACUUGCCUAUCAGAGGGGGAUAACCCGGCGAAAGUCGGACUAAUACCGCAUGAAGCAGGGGCCCCGCAUGGGGAUAUUUGCUAAAGAUUCAUCGCUGAUAGAUAGGCAUGCG